CCAGGUCUUGACAUCUUGCGCUAACCUAAGAGAUUAGGCGUUCCCUUCGGGGACGCAAUGACAGGUGGUGCAUGGUCGUCGUCAGCUCGUGUCGUGAGAUGUUGGGUUAAGUCCCGCAACGAGCGCAACCCUUGUUACUAGUUGCCUACCAUUCAGUUGGGCACUCUAGUAGAGACUGCCGGUGACAAACCGGAGGAAGGUGGGGACGACGUCAGAUCAUCAUUGCCCCUUAUGACCUGGGCUACACACGUGCUACAAUGGACAGUAC
Molecule: ribosomal RNA, 268 nt
Filed under: bacterium enrichment culture DGGE gel band 91
Lineage: Bacteria
Description: partial 16S ribosomal RNA
Rfam family: Bacterial small subunit ribosomal RNA
Source: RNAcentral